CUUUAGCUCAGAUGGUAGAGCAUCUGAUUUGUAAUCAGAGGGUCGUGGGUUCAAUUCCCACAG
Molecule: transfer RNA, 63 nt
Filed under: uncultured Brevinema sp.
Lineage: Bacteria; Pseudomonadati; Spirochaetota; Spirochaetia; Brevinematales; Brevinemataceae
Rfam family: tRNA
About the family: Transfer RNA (tRNA) molecules are approximately 80 nucleotides in length. Their secondary structure includes four short double-helical elements and three loops (D, anti-codon, and T loops).
Source: RNAcentral